GCGCUCGUAGCUCAGCUGGAUAGAGCAUCAGACUACGAAUCUGAGGGUCAGGAGUUCGAAUCUCUUCGGGCGCG
This 74-nucleotide transfer RNA is filed under the name Acidocella sp. MX-AZ02. It matches the Rfam family "tRNA". From Rfam's summary of the family: Transfer RNA (tRNA) molecules are approximately 80 nucleotides in length. The record is from Rfam by way of RNAcentral. Lineage: Bacteria; Pseudomonadati; Pseudomonadota; Alphaproteobacteria; Acetobacterales; Acidocellaceae.